GAAAUGCGAUAAGUAGUGUGAAUUGCAGAAUUCAGUGAAUCAUCGAAUCUUUGAACGCACAUUGCGCCCCUUGGUAUUCCAUGGGGCAUGCCUGUUCGAGCGUCAUUUGUACCCUCAAGCUCUGCUUGGUGUUGGGUGUUUGUCCCGUCUCCGCGCGUGGACUCGCCCCAAAGUGAUUGGUAGCCGGCGUACUGGUCCCGGAGCGCAGCACAUGUCGCGCAAACGAGUGCCUUGGUACGGCGGCGUCCAUAAGCCCCUCUCUCACGCUCUUGACCUCGGAUCAGGUAGGGAUACCCGCUGAACUUAAGC
This 309-nucleotide unclassified non-coding RNA is filed under the name plant metagenome. Its description in RNAcentral is "partial contains 5.8S ribosomal RNA, internal transcribed spacer 2, and large subunit ribosomal RNA". The stretch from base 1 to 105 matches the Rfam family "5.8S ribosomal RNA", at positions 50 to 154 of the family's 154-position model. The record is from RNAcentral.